CAGUCGAAGCGGUAGAGAGAAGCUUGCUUCUCUUGAGAGCGGCGGACGGGUGAGUAAUGCCUAGGAAUCUGCCUGGUAGUGGGGGAUAACGUUCGGAAACGGACGCUAAUACCGCAUACGUCCUACGGGAGAAAGCAGGGGACCUUCGGGCCUUGCGCUAUCAGAUGAGCCUAGGUCGGAUUAGCUAGUUGGUGAGGUAAUGGCUCACCAAGGCGACGAUCCGUAGCUGGUCUGAGAGGAUGAUCAGCCACACUGGAACUGAGACACGGUCCAGACUCCUACGGGAGGCAGCAGUGGGGAAUAUUGGACAAUGGGCGCAAGCCUGAUCCAGCCAUACCGCGUGGGUGAAGAAGGCCUUCGGGUUGUAAAGCCCUUUUGUUGGGAAAGAAAAGCAUUCGGUUAAUACCCGGGUGUUCUGACGGUACCCAAAGAAUAAGCACCGGCUAACUUCGUGCCAGCAGCCGCGGUAAUA
RNAcentral lists this ribosomal RNA (472 nucleotides) under uncultured bacterium. RNAcentral's name for it is "bacterial SSU rRNA". It matches the Rfam family "Bacterial small subunit ribosomal RNA", at positions 59 to 525 of the family's 1533-position model. The record is from RNAcentral.